This 195-nucleotide ribosomal RNA is filed under the name uncultured Neisseriales bacterium. RNAcentral's name for it is "partial 16S ribosomal RNA". It matches the Rfam family "Bacterial small subunit ribosomal RNA", at positions 139 to 334 of the family's 1533-position model. The record is from RNAcentral. Lineage: Bacteria; Pseudomonadati; Pseudomonadota; Betaproteobacteria; Neisseriales.
GGGGAUAACCAAACGAAAGUUUGGCUAAUACCGCGUAAGCUCCAAGGAGGAAAGUAGGGGACCUAAAUAAGGCCUUACGCUAUUUGAUCGGCCGAUGUCGGAUUAGCUAGUUGGUGGGUAAUGGCUCACCAAGGCAAUGAUCCGUAGCGGGUCUGAGAGGACGAUCCGCCACACUGGGACUGAGACACGGCCCAG